RNAcentral lists this transfer RNA (64 nucleotides) under Trypetoptera punctulata. RNAcentral's name for it is "tRNA-Tyr". Lineage: Eukaryota; Metazoa; Arthropoda; Insecta; Diptera; Sciomyzidae. The record is from RNAcentral.
GAUUGGAUGGCUGAAAAUAGGCAGUAGACUGUAAAUUUAUUUAUGAGAAAAAUCUCUUCAAUCA